This 777-nucleotide ribosomal RNA is filed under the name uncultured Neocallimastigales. RNAcentral describes it as "partial large subunit ribosomal RNA". It matches the Rfam family "Eukaryotic large subunit ribosomal RNA", at positions 24 to 640 of the family's 3401-position model. The record is from RNAcentral. Lineage: Eukaryota; Fungi; Neocallimastigomycota; Neocallimastigomycetes; Neocallimastigales.
UACGACUACAUAUCAGGCAUAUCAAUAAGCGGAGGAAAAGAAACUAACAAGGAUUCCCCUAGUAACGGCGAGUGAAGCGGGAAGAGCUCAAAUCUGAAAUCUUAAAGGGUUUCCCUUUACGAAUUGUAGUUUAAAGAAGUGUUUUCUGUUGGAGUUUCGGUAAAAGUUCUUUGGAAUAGGACAUCAUAGAGGGUGAGAAUCCCGUAUUUGACCGUUACUUUCCAGCUGUGUGAUACACUUUCAAAGAGUCGGAUUGUUUGGGAAUGUAGUCCAAAAUGGGUGGUAAAUUUCAUCUAAAGCUAAAUAUUGGCGAGAGACCGAUAGCGAACAAGUACCGUGAGGGAAAGAUGAAAAGAACUUUGAAAAGAGAGUUAAACAGUACGUGAAAUUGUCAAAAGGGAAGCGUUUGACACCAGUGUUGUUUUUCCGAAAAUCAAUUAAGAAGGGCUUGAUUUUGUGUUGUAUUGACCUUAUCAGCUUUCUUCACUCUUUUUCGAGUCUUUCUUAAUGCACUUUUCGGUUAACAAGUCAACAUCAAUUUCUUUUGUUGUAAAAGGGUAUUUGGAAGGUGGCUUUCUUUUCGGAGAAAGUGUUUAUAGCCUUAUACCUCUACAAUCGGAGAGAUUGAGGUCUGCAGCGUAGAUCCUUCGGGGCUAGAUACACUUGUGCUAAGUUAUAGCUUUUCAUAGACAACUUGUUGACUAUGUUUAGUCAUGUAGCUUACCCGCUUGAUGCUAUUUUACCUACGCUUAGGAUGUUGAUCUACAGAGCGAGAGU